Molecule: long non-coding RNA, 914 nt
Organism: Zea mays
Lineage: Eukaryota; Viridiplantae; Streptophyta; Magnoliopsida; Poales; Poaceae
Exons: 2
Source: RefSeq, a predicted model, not a curated record
UGCGGUGAACUCGCUACCGUUCACUAUUGUCUCUUACCUCCCGCGCCGCCGCCUUCUGAUUCACUCCCACGCUGCUCGGAAGUCAGAACCCUCUUGUGUUGUCGCGUCGACCGAGCAUCACAUCGUCUCUGUGGUAUGUCUCCGAUGACAUUGAGCUCCCCCCCUUCCGCGCACGCUCCCUCGACUCCCCAUCCAAUCCUCACACAGCAAGCCCCCAAUCUCUGCCACCACUCUCGCUCCGGCAAUUGUUCCUCGAGGUAUGAUGUGGGGUUCGAUGGUGGCAGCGACUCUGAUUAGACGGCGAGGGUGCGGUCGGAAGCGGUGAGAGGGCGAGGGGCACAGGAUGGGACGACUUCGUGAUGAAUCGGGCAAGGGUUUCAGCGGUCGUUGACCUGCCCCCAGGUUUCUUCAAGCUAAUCCAGCCACCAGCCCACCAUCGCUGCCGGUGCCGUUAUCAGCUUAUGCGACGAAGCAAUUCUGGAAGGCCGAGACUACAACGGAAAGCCGCUCUUUGAUGGGGUGGCUAGCAGACACGUGAAUAAACGUUUUGCUCAAUCUACUCCAUGUCCCAGGCUGUUGCAAGAGCAGCAUCAGUUAAUUGAUCAGAAUGACAGUGACCCAAUUUCCAUGUGUGCUCUGCCUACGGCGCCCUCAGCAAAACCAAAACCUGAUGUUGUGCUGUUCUCUUCAAUUAUUUUGUUAAAUUUUUACGUUGACAUGCCAGUUAUAUAUAAAGACAGAAGAUGUAUACCAGUCUUGGUAUGGCAACGUUCCUUCUUUUAAAAAAUCCUUGCAUUCUUAUUUAGUAGUAUGUAUUGUUUUGAAGGUUGUAAAUUAUAGUGGAUGAAUUCAUUGUGCAUGCAUUGAGCAGAAGCCAUCACCAUACUAAAUGCAGAUUGUUCUCUCAACUCCAA